GCUGGCGGCAGGCCUCAUACAUGCAAGUCGAGCGGUCCUUCGGGACAGCGGCGAACGGGUUAGUAACGCGUGGGAACGUGCCCUUUAGUACGGAAUAGCCAUUGGAAACGAUGAUUAAUACCGUAUACGCCCCAAGGGGGAAAGAUUUAUCGCUAAAGGAUCGGCCCGCGUUAGAUUAGGUAGUUGGUAGGGUAAUGGCCUACCAAGCCGACGAUCUAUAGCUGGUUUGAGAGGAUGAUCAGCAACACUGGGACUGAGACACGGCCCAGACUUCUACGGAAGGCAGCAGUAGGGAAUCUUGGACAAUGGGCGGAAGCCUGAUCCAGCCAUGCCGCGUGAGUGAUGAAGGCCCUAGGGUUGUAAAGCUCUUUCGCCAGGGAAGAUAAUGACGGUACCUGGUAAAGAAACCCCGG
This 413-nucleotide ribosomal RNA is filed under the name uncultured Alphaproteobacteria bacterium. Its description in RNAcentral is "bacterial SSU rRNA". It matches the Rfam family "Bacterial small subunit ribosomal RNA", at positions 35 to 496 of the family's 1533-position model. Lineage: Bacteria; Pseudomonadati; Pseudomonadota; Alphaproteobacteria. The record is from RNAcentral.